RNAcentral lists this long non-coding RNA (1534 nucleotides) under Canis lupus familiaris (dog). RNAcentral describes it as "lncRNA (ENSCAFG00000055698.1)". Lineage: Eukaryota; Metazoa; Chordata; Mammalia; Carnivora; Canidae. The record is from RNAcentral.
UAGAAGCACUAGACAUACGUCUCAGCAAAUAUUUGCUGAAUGAAGGCAUGAAUGGAUGAUUCAGAAAAAUAGUAUCCAUCCUCAUAUUUGAAAUGAGGGUUAAUACAGAAGGAACUCACAUAAAACAUAAUAAAAAAAAUAACCUUUCAUGCAAAGCGGACCAUGAGUUCUCACAUCAACAAAUAAGCUGAAUGUUUCCUAAUCCAAUUUCUAUUUACACGUGGUCAUCCCCCGUCCCUCCGUCGGUUCAUCUAGUAUCCACCCAUUCUUUCAGUGAAUGCUGAGAGACCGCAGGCCGGUGGCCCAAGUGCUGUCUAGACUAAGGGAAACAGGGCAUAAGCCCUUUCCAAGGAGUUCAAUGACUUUUGGGAAGACAAAUCUGUGCAUCCACAGCCCUGGCCAUCAACCACUGUAGGGACUGUAAGGGGGCGGAGCAAGCCAGACACAGGCCUAAGGACCCGGCUGCACAGAUGCUUCCUGCCUGCUUCUGGCUCAGGGCUGCAGAAUCUUGAGUCUCAUCCGUUCAUUCACCCCACAACUAUUUCGGGGGGUACCUGCUACUAUCAGGUGCCCAGCAGGGGCCUGCAAAUCUGCUACGGUUGGUUCUGUAUGGGAGAGGCAGCAAUCACAGUAGGAUGAGUGCUACGGGGCACGUAGGGGCCACUCGUCCAGGUGGACAGACUCACCAAGGGAGCUUUGCCUGGAUGCCUCUUGGGAUCUUUAAUUACCAGAAUGAGGCUGAUUUCAGAGCUGCUAGUGACCAAGGACUGCAGGACUGUUGCGUCGUCUCUGGGAGAUACACCCUCUCUCUGUGCCGCGAAGAAGGCCACAGCGCACUACAGCUCUCUGGGGGUGGGAUAAAGCGUCCGGUGUCCUUUCCCCUCCCACCCCCACCCCCCACCCUGCAUAGUGCCCUGCAACUUCCUGAGAGAUAUUCCUCACGGGAACAAGGGCUGAUGAGCUGGGCUGCAUUAUCUCUUCCUGCCAGGGGGCCACUCCAGCCUCUCUUGGCAGUAGACACCUUGGGGAGGAGGUCUCUGCCCAGCUCCCAGCCGCCCCCCUCCUUUGGGGUCCUUCAGUCAUCGGCGUGAAAACCCAGCCAGGCUAGACGUGCCGAAGAUCAGGCCGGUCCUCAGACUGUGCUGUGCAGGCCAGAGGAGCUGACGGAGCCCGGGGAGCACAGGGCCGGGAGCAGGGUGGUGGUGGUAGGGAAGACAGGACACGGAGGUAGAGGUGGACAGACAGACGGAGACACACAGACACGCAGAAACAACAGCAAGGAGAGCCUUCCCGCUCCUGGCCGUCGCCCUCCCCCCAAGACCUGGCUGCAGCGUGCCUGGGGUGCUCCCGACACCCCCACCAUCUAAUGUGAAUGUGGGUUCUUCACUCAUAGCCCAGGUGGGCUUUCCUUCCCGCCAGCCAAGAGCCCAUGGUCGCGCAGGCCUGGCACAGCUCCCGGCGGACUUGCCCUCACCCAGCUCCACGCUCUACCCUCUGGGACCAGGGUAGCAGGCCCUGGGCUGAGCUUGACCCC